AAUGAAUCAUACUGUGGAAUGUAUUUCAAAAUAUAUUUUUUGAUGUCAUGUAGCAGGCUAGGGUUCUUAUGAACACCUGUUUUCUGGAACAAUCCUAAUAUCAGUUUCUAGAAAUGAAUAUUUAUGGUGAUACCUAAUUGGUUAACCUUUAAUUGUUUAUUGGACUGUCUGCAGCUAAUAUGUUUUGCCUAACAUAUCUAGUUGGUAACACUUGAACACUUGAUAACCAAAAUAGAAGAGAUAGCCCGAUAGUCUACCAUAAAAUGGCUUCCUAGAGAAACCACAAAAUACUCAACUUUAGAGCCAUGAAGGUAUCAAGGGACACCAGUUCCACACUCUAGUACUGCUAUCUUUCUGCUUGUUCCUGGCUACAUAAAUAGGACAAAGAUGAGACUAACAUCGUCUGAAAAUUCUCAGACUACAGUGUUUAGUCAGACAAAACAAUUUUAGCAUAGGUGGGCAGGACAAGUUCAUAUCCUAGUCUUAGAAGCACCAUGCAUGCAAUGAACAUAAUAAUGGGGUGGGCGCCUAGGAGAUAAAUUUUAUUAUUUAUUCAGCAUUUAAACUAUUCUGUCAUUCUAACUAUAUACGCUCACUCAUACAUGAUGCCAAGACCAAAGAUUAGAGCAGACUGGUUUGGAUCCUAGGGUCUGAAGAAAAAAAAAGAAACAUUUUUUGAUAUUUGCAAUGUGUAUAUAUGAAAUGCUUUCUGUAGCAUGCUAUUGUGCUACUAUUUAGACCUAGACUCAACAUGUCUAGUCAUGUAUCUAAUUGAUAGAAAUCAAUCAGACGAUGACAAUCAAGAACAUUUCAAUGGCCACAUAAAUCAUACAACAGAGAAUAACAAAUUCAAGCUGCAUGUUCAGGAUAUUCUAAGACUAAACUUCAAUAAAUGGAUUCUCAAUUUUCUGCAGAGAUGCAAUAUCAUGUCCUUCAACUAUAUGGAAGAAUAAUAUACAAACCAAUGGUAAUCAUGUUUAGCCUACCUAAUUCAAUUGAAUGAUAAAAAUUAUCUUAUUUCACAGAUUUUUUCUUAAAACAAAUCUAGCAAUUUGACAAAUCUAGUAAAUUUGAGGGGAUUGAAUUUACCUAGUGCUAGGUUGGCACCAUGGGAGCAGGAGAGGUGGGAGUUGACUGGCCACUCAUCCGGCAUCGAGCAGCGGAAGGCAGCUGCGACUUUCACUAGAACAUUAGCUGAGAAAACAAAUCCACAAAGCAUAAGUAAUGAAAUUUAGAACACAAACCUUUAGAAAUACAAAAUAGUUCUGAUAGUCAGGGAUUGCCCCAAGAUAAUAAGAAAAUAAGAAAAAUGGCUCUUCUAUAGAAGAUAUAGAAGUUUGAAACUACUGAUUAGCUGAACUGUUGAUUCUGAAAGGACAAAUCAAUAGUUAGAUACCACCAGCUCUCUCUAAUGGAUUAGAAUUGAUUAGCUUCCUGGCUCAGCAAAUCUAUGCACAAUUACAUUAACAAGGACUAAAGGCUAGCCUUAC
Molecule: long non-coding RNA, 1490 nt
Filed under: Sorghum bicolor (sorghum)
Lineage: Eukaryota; Viridiplantae; Streptophyta; Magnoliopsida; Poales; Poaceae
Description: long non-coding RNA (SBIC_LNC000600)
Source: RNAcentral